GGCUGGUCUGAAGGCAGUGAGUAUCUCAAGUGAUUGUUCACAGUUAUAGAUGGAAUGCCUUGUUCUACCCUUUCCCACUUCUUACUAUUGCACUUGAUUAGUCUUUA
Molecule: Y RNA, 107 nt
Filed under: Microcebus murinus (gray mouse lemur)
Lineage: Eukaryota; Metazoa; Chordata; Mammalia; Primates; Cheirogaleidae
Description: Y RNA (ENSMICG00000021129.3)
Rfam family: Y RNA
About the family: Y RNAs are components of the Ro ribonucleoprotein particle (Ro RNP), in association with Ro60 and La proteins. The Y RNAs and Ro60 and La proteins are well conserved, but the function of the Ro RNP is not known. In humans the RNA component can be one of four small RNAs -- hY1, hY3, hY4 and hY5.
Source: Rfam by way of RNAcentral